CGAACCGAAAAUUGCACACAAUGAAUAAGUUGUUCACUUCUUGAAACUUCUUCCAAGAGAGACCAAGAAAAUCCUAGCAUAAACCUCUGCUAAUGCAUUGAUGUGAGACGUGAUCCACGACACAAGGUUAACUAAAUCGACUAAAUCGAUGAUUUUAGGACAACGAUUAGAUAAUUAUAUGGGACCUAUGCCUUGAAUAAGCUGGGCAUAUAUGGCGCGCUUAGGGGGAAACUAAUAAAGCGAGUUCCG
Cinara cedri is the source of this 249-nucleotide non-coding RNA. The record is from the annotation of a GenBank genome assembly. NCBI's taxonomy places the organism in Eukaryota, Metazoa, Arthropoda, Insecta, Hemiptera, Aphididae.